RNAcentral lists this ribosomal RNA (485 nucleotides) under uncultured bacterium. Its description in RNAcentral is "partial 16S ribosomal RNA". It matches the Rfam family "Bacterial small subunit ribosomal RNA", at positions 28 to 507 of the family's 1533-position model. The record is from RNAcentral.
GAUGAACGCUAGCGAUAGGCUUAACACAUGCAAGUCGAGGGGCAGCGCGGGUAGCAAUACCUGUCGGCGACCGGCGCACGGGUGAGUAACGCGUAUGUAACCUGCCCGCAACAGGGGGAUAACCCGGCGAAAGUCGGACUAAUACCGCAUAAAACAGGGGUCCCGCAUGGGAAUAUUUGUUAAAGAUUUAUCGGUUGCGGAUGGGCAUGCGUACCAUUAGGUAGUUGGUGAGGUAACGGCUCACCAAGCCUUCGAUGGUUAGGGGUUCUGAGAGGAAGGUCCCCCACACUGGUACUGAGACACGGACCAGACUCCUACGGGAGGCAGCAGUGAGGAAUAGUGAUCAAUGGGCGAGGGCCUGAACCAGCCAAGUCGGGUGAAGGAUGACUGCCCUAUGGGUUGUAAACUUCUUUUACAAGGGAAUAAAAUGAGAUACGGGUAUUUUAUUGCAUGUACCUGGGGAAUAAGCAUCGGCUAACUCCGUG